Dermacentor andersoni is the source of this 1379-nucleotide long non-coding RNA. RefSeq lists it as uncharacterized. Lineage: Eukaryota; Metazoa; Arthropoda; Arachnida; Ixodida; Ixodidae. The record is from RefSeq and is a predicted model, not a curated record.
AUGGACGUGAGCGUAACCACGACCUACUGUACAGCAGGUCGUGAGCGUAACAUGGGAGCUUCAAUGGUACAUCUAAGCUUUCUUGGUUAUCCCAAGCUGUUCCUUAUCCUUCCGCGUAAUAACUCUUUCUUGUACCCAAUAGAAUACCGAAUAGAGAUCGUAUAGAAGCUCAGAGGCUGCACCUGUCAUUCACAUAGACAGCUCUUGCACAGUGGGUGCCCUCAAAUGUACUGCAGAGUUUGCUGUGUUGCUGUUUAGUUGAGCAUCAACUGAUAGCCUCGACAAUAUGACAAGCAACACAUCUGCCAUUUCAGGUCUGUCUUAGGAAUGGCACGCCCCAGAAAGCUCGCCUUCGUGCAUAGCGUUUGCCACCAGCAUUUCCAGGAAAACAUUACAGAAGCAUAAGCUGCAGCUGCCCGGAAGCGUGAGAAGCAGCCAGGGAUCUUUUAAUGCUAUCGUGUUCCACUCUUAAAGGCUCAGCUUAAGUGUCCUCCAACCUUUUUUUUUUUUUCGCUGUUUGGGGACUGCCUUCUUGAAGGUGUUGCUUCGUUUCCUUUCUGCUGUAGGGCGAAUGUAAUAUCUGCUUUGAACAACGGCAAAGCCACAUUUUGAUUGCACUUGAUGCUGGCUGCACUAGUGCAGCAUCUCUCCUGAACACUAUUCCAACAGUUCACUAUGAUGUUAUCACUGAAAUAGAAUACACAAGACACCUUCGUGUACCACUUCAUCUACCUCGAAGUAAUAUGCCAUAGCUCUAUGAUCAUAUCCUUAACAUCCACUACUUUCUUGGAUUCAUUUCAGAUAGCUGGAAUGUACAGACUAAAAAAGCUCGGAAGCGCUUGCGCUCUUUGGAGAAUUUUGUAUGAGCAUUUUCAGGCUGUUCUGGUGACACUAAAAAAUACUGGCUCUCCUGUAAUCGAGAGUGGAUGUAAGCAUGAAAUGGCUGCCAACAAAGCAGAUUAAUUGUAGAUGACACUAGCCACAAUCUUAAAAUGGGUGUAGCGUACAUUCGAAACUGCACACCCCACCCCACCGCACCACGCAACUGUACACUGGUCCAUAUGGAAGCAAGUUUCCUGUCAAAGACAGAACCCCAUUGCAAGUCUCGUCUCGGUCCACCAGAUGCGCCGUGGACCUCGCGGACUGCUGGCAUUGAAAAGAGCACAAGCAACUGUGUCUCAGUGCCAAAAAAUGACAACCAAGUGUACAGUGCCUUGUAUCUGCCUCUGAACGUCGCUAUUAGAAGUGACAAAUAAAACUUCAGCGUACUAGAAGUUACAGCUUGAGUGAUAUUGUGAGAAAAUAUUUAGAACUCAGAAGCAAUAUUUUUUGUAACAUGUUUGGGAAGUAACUAGCAUAUGUAUUGCAGUCUUGACUGU